UUUACAUGACAACUCAGCUCGUCUUUUGGUUUUGCUUUGGGUUUUGUUUCAUUUCAUUUUAUUUGUUACAUGUUUUUCUUUUGAAUUUAUUUUUCUGUAGAUUGGCUGGAUCUUGAAUAUGAGUAUCGAAUGACUUGAUCUUUUAACUAUGGCUGGUUCUUGAUUUUUUUUACUAUAACUUGGCUGGGGAUGGUUUUGUGACUGUAACAUGAUUUUGAUUGUUGAAUUGACAACUAUGAUACAAUAUAACUGGGACUACUGAUACACUUGUGGACGCAAGAAUAGCUGGCAUCAACGUUAUCUUUGGAAGGCAAGGGGAGUCCUACGAUUCUGUUUGUAAGUCAAAUGCUCAUUGAUGUUGUUCCAAACAAACUGAGUGCUUACUGUGCAAAAUGCUAUGGAAGAAAAAAAAAGUUAAGAAAGAACCAUGACCAACUGCAUACACUAAAAAAUGCAGGGCUUUGAAUCUUCAAUCCAUCUUAAUGCACUCAUGACCAUAAAGCAUUGGUGGCUGUUAUAUCUGUAAAGUUCUGUAGCUCUACUAGCUGAUCGAAAUAGUACAAUAUCGUGUUACUGGAGCAGCUUCUUACGGUGUCUACUUUUCUUCAUAUGAAGUGCUUUUUUAGCAUAGGAUGAUUAUGUGGUGGAUCUUCUUGGGAUUGCAAAGUUAUGAUUCCCAUCAUUUAUAUUUUUUCAUUAAUUGGUGUUUUGAAACUAUUCACCAUUUUGGGUGAUUAUAUGGACUGUUGUCGCCUGCGAUGUAACAUAUUAUUCCACUGAUGGCGAAUGUUUAAUCUAUAAUUUCAAUAUUUAAUUUUGAUUAAAUUUUUAAUUCAAAUGUUAAGACUCAUGCCAUUAAUCAUGGGUCA
This is a non-coding RNA of Camellia sinensis, 869 nucleotides long. Lineage: Eukaryota; Viridiplantae; Streptophyta; Magnoliopsida; Ericales; Theaceae. The record is from RefSeq and is a predicted model, not a curated record.